This 1397-nucleotide small RNA is filed under the name Pongo abelii (Sumatran orangutan). RNAcentral's name for it is "processed transcript". Lineage: Eukaryota; Metazoa; Chordata; Mammalia; Primates; Hominidae. The record is from RNAcentral.
CAGAAGCUGAUUGCAUCCAAAGCAAAUGACCACCAAGGUUUUUAUCUUCUAAACAGUAUAAUAGAGCACAUGCCUCCUGAAUCAGUUGACCAAUAUAGGAAACAAAUCUUCAUUCUGCUAUUCCAGAGACUUCAGAAUUCCAAAACAACCAAGUUUAUCAAGAGUUUUUUAGUCUUUAUUAAUUUGUAUUGCAUAAAAUAUGGGGCACUAGCACUACAAGAAAUAUUUGAUGGUAUACAACCAAAAAUGUUUGGAAUGGUUUUGGAAAAAAUUAUUAUUCCUGAAAUUCAGAAAGUAUCUGGAAAUGUAGAGAAAAAGAUCUGUGCGGUUGGCAUAACCAAAUUACUAACAGAAUGUCCCCCAAUGAUGGACACUGAGUAUACCAAGCUGUGGACUCCAUUAUUACAGUCUUUGAUUGGCCUUUUUGAGUUACCCGAAGAUGAUACCAUUCCUGAUGAGGAACAUUUUAUUGACAUAGAAGAUACACCAGGAUAUCAGACUGCCUUCUCACAGUUGGCAUUUGCUGGGAAGAAAGAGCAUGAUCCUGUAGGUCAAAUGGUGAACAACCCCAAAAUUCACCUGGCACAGUCACUUCACAAGUUGUCUACCGCCUGUCCAGGAAGGACCUAUUUUUGAAGGCAUAAAAGCAGUUGAGUUUCUGGAGAAUCUUUGGAUGGUGAUUAAUGGCUUGACUGGCUGCUCUUCCCAGAGCUGUGGCAGCUGUCCUGUAGAAGAUGGGGUUUGUAUUGGUGCACCAAGAUCUCCAACAGCCAGUGUGUGUUUCCCAUCUCUUGUAGGUUCCAUCAAUGGUGAGCACCAGCCUGAACGCAGAAGCGCUCCAGUAUCUCCAAGGGUACCUUCAGGCAGCCAGUGUGACACUGCUUUAAACUGCAUUUUUCUAAUUGGCUAAACCCAGAUGGUUUCCUAGGAAAUCACAGACUUCUGAGCACGGCUGCAUUAAAACAAAGCAAGUUUUCCUUUUGAACUUGUCACGAAUUCCAUCUUGUAAAGGAUAUUAAAUGUUGCUUUAACCUGAACCUUGAGCAAAUUAGUUGGUUUGUGUGAUCAUACAUUUAUGUGGGUGGCUUCUAGUUUGCAACUUCAAGGGACAAGUAUUAAUAGUUCAGUGUAUGGCGUUGGUUUGCGUUGAGCAUUUGCACGGUUUGGAUAAUCUUAAAUUUUGACGGACACUGUGGAGACUUUCUGUUACUAAAUCCUUUUGUUUUGAAGCUGUUGCUAUUUGUAUUUCUCUUGUCUUUUAUAUUUUUUGUCUGUUUACGCUUUUAUUGGAAAUGUGAAUAAGUAAAGAAUUACUUGUGUUACUUGCCAAGCAGUGCACAUUUCAUAGUUUCAAAUCUGUAAUCAGCAAUAAAAAUCCUAAAAUAUGUACCUAAGAG